GAUGAACGCUGGCGGCGUGCCUAAUACAUGCAAGUCGAGCGAACGGACGAAAAGCUUGCUUCUCUGAUGUUAGCGGCGGACGGGUGAGUAACACGUGGAUAACCUACCUAUAAGACUGGGAUAACUUCGGGAAACCGGAGCUAAUACCGGAUAAUAUUUUGAACCGCAUGGUUCAAAAGUGAAAGACGGUCUUGCUGUCACUUAUAGAUGGAUCCGCGCUGCAUUAGCUAGUUGGUAAGGUAACGGCUUACCAAGGCAACGAUGCAUAGCCGACCUGAGAGGGUGAUCGGCCACACUGGAACUGAGACACGGUCCAGACUCCUACGGGAGGCAGCAGUAGGGAAUCUUCCGCAAUGGGCGAAAGCCUGACGGAGCAACGCCGCGUGAGUGAUGAAGGUCUUCGGAUCGUAAAACUCUGUUAUUAGGGAAGAACAUAUGUGUAAGUAACUGUGCACAUCUUGACGGUACCUAAUCAGAAAGCCACGGCUAACUACGUG
Molecule: ribosomal RNA, 497 nt
Filed under: uncultured bacterium
Lineage: Bacteria
Description: partial 16S ribosomal RNA
Rfam family: Bacterial small subunit ribosomal RNA
Source: RNAcentral